UACGGAGGGUGCGAGCGUUGUCCGGAAUCAUUGGGCGUAAAGGGCGCGUAGGUGGCCUGCUAAGCGUGCGGUGAAAGUCGGGGGCUCAACCCCCGAUCGGCCGUGCGAACUGGGAGGCUUGAGCACUGUAGAGGCAGGCGGAAUUCCGGGGUGUAGCGGUGGAAUGCGUAGAGAUCCGGAAGAACACCGGUGGCGAAGGCGGCCUGCUGGGCAGUUUUGCUGACACUGAGGCGCGACAGCGUGGGGGAGCAAACAGGG
RNAcentral lists this ribosomal RNA (258 nucleotides) under uncultured bacterium. Its description in RNAcentral is "partial 16S ribosomal RNA". It matches the Rfam family "Bacterial small subunit ribosomal RNA", at positions 524 to 777 of the family's 1533-position model. The record is from RNAcentral.